Molecule: long non-coding RNA, 388 nt
Filed under: Sorghum bicolor (sorghum)
Lineage: Eukaryota; Viridiplantae; Streptophyta; Magnoliopsida; Poales; Poaceae
Description: long non-coding RNA (SBIC_LNC009695)
Source: RNAcentral
CAUUUUUAAUGUCCUUAUAACUCAAAUGUAUAAGGUGCUUAGUUUGGCAAAAACGAGAUGUAAUUUUAGCUAAAAAAUAAUGGUUGUCUACAAGUUAAUUUUGACUCUCUCUCCAUCUGUACAAAAGUUCAUGUUUUUAUUGUGAGUGGCAUAAGGAGUUUUUAAAGGUUUAAAUUAUGUUUACUUUUAGUCACAAGGUAGAAAAAUAGAAGAAUAUGAACACUACAUCAGCACAUUUCACAAUCAUAUACUGUUUUUAACGACGGAUUCACAUUCAUAUAGAGAUAUAGAAAAAAGAUAUAGCAAAAUACGACCAUAUUGUCUAUCCAACACCAUAUUAGCAAUAGGUUAAUCAAUCUGCCUUCUCUUUGUCACAAUUGAAAUCCCC